This 253-nucleotide ribosomal RNA is filed under the name uncultured bacterium. Its description in RNAcentral is "partial 16S ribosomal RNA". It matches the Rfam family "Bacterial small subunit ribosomal RNA", at positions 524 to 776 of the family's 1533-position model. The record is from RNAcentral.
UACGUAGGUGGCAAGCGUUAUCCGGAAUUAUUGGGCGUAAAGCGCGCGCAGGCGGUUUCUUAAGUCUGAUGCGAAAGCCCACGGCUCAACCGUGGAGGGUCAUUGGAAACUGGGAAACUUGAGUGCAGAAGAGAAGAGUGGAAUUCCACGUGUAGCGGUGAAAUGCGUAGAGAUGUGGAGGAACACCAGUGGCGAAGGCGACUCCUUGGUCUGUAACUGACGCUGAGGCGCGAAAGCGUGGGGAGCAAACAGG